RNAcentral lists this ribosomal RNA (532 nucleotides) under uncultured Gammaproteobacteria bacterium. RNAcentral's name for it is "bacterial SSU rRNA". It matches the Rfam family "Bacterial small subunit ribosomal RNA", at positions 343 to 868 of the family's 1533-position model. The record is from RNAcentral. Lineage: Bacteria; Pseudomonadati; Pseudomonadota; Gammaproteobacteria.
GGGAGGCAGCAGUGGGGACUAUUGGACAAUGGGGGGAAGCGUGAUCCGUCCAUGCCGGCCGUGUGGAGAAGGCCUUUUGGUUGUAAAGCACUUUAAACGUGGAGGAGGCUAGAAGUAAUAAUACUACGGGAUAGUUGACGUUACUACCAGAAUAAGCACCGGCUAAUUACUGUGCCAGCAGCCGCGGUAAUACUGAGGGGGCUAGCGUUGUUCUGAUUUACUGGGGGUAAAAAAGGCGUAGGCGGCUGAUUAAGUCGGAUGUGAAAUCCCUGAGCUUAACUUCGGAAUUGCAUUCGAUACUGGUCAGCUAGAGUAGUGGGAGAGAUGGUAGAAUUCCAGGUGUAGCGGUGAAAUGCGUAGAGAUCUGGAGGAAUACCGAUGGCGAAGGCAGCCAUCUGGCCUAAUACUGACGCUGAGAGGCGAAAGCGGGGGGAGCAAACACGAUUAGAUACCCCUGGUAGUCCACACAGAAACGUUGAACUAGCCCUGGGGCCUAUAUGCCGUCAGUGGCGCAGCUAACGCGAUAAGUAGA